CAGCCGGGCCCCGAGCGAGCUGCGCGCGUCCGGGCGGGAGCCCGGGCUCCGGGGUUCAAAGGGCCGCAGCCCCCAGGGAAUGCCCUCCUCUCUGUGCCCCGGGGGACAGAAGCGGACUGCAGGGCGGUGGGACCGGCCUGGGCCACGCCCAGAUUUGGUCAUUCUAACUUUUGAAAUGUCUCGUCGUGAGUGAAUGAAUCUACAUUGCACUCAAUUUCUUGUGCAGGUCUGGAGCUGUGGCGUUCCUGAACCGUAUUCCUGAAGGCCCGGCAGCUGCCAUUAAUCACACGACGCAUCCAUCUGUGGGCUUGUCAUCGGAGCUGCUCCCCCUGGUCGCCAAAGCAGGCGACUGGCAGACACCAAGUGCUUGGCCCUGGGGGUCUUCGGCAAUGACUGGGUAGAGAAGUUGCUUCUCCUCGUCUGCAUUUUCAUUCUUACUAAAUCCAAUGUGCUCUUUCAGAACAAGGCAGUCAUGUCGAGAGAGAAUGGAGUGAACUGGAUGCUGUUCAGCUUUGUUGCUGAAGUGGGGAGAUUAGAAGUUUUAAACAUCGCUGGGCAUGAACAUGCCUGAUCCAAUCAAUGCACGAGGAACAGGGCUUCCAGUGAUGAACUGGUUUUCCACCUAAUCACUCAAGGAACGCUUGGUUUUAUGUGCAGAAGCAGCCAGGACACAUACAUGGUUUGGAGGAAAGUGAGUGGGGGUAGAAGGGGGCAGAAGGAGAUCAACGGUAAUAGAAAAAAAAGCAAUAUAAACAAACAGCAAACUUCCAAUUCUUCUCCACCCCCGCACCCCUCUGGGGAGAUGAUACCCAUGAACUCUGGCACAAGAAAACCUUCCAAGGAAUAGAAUGAACAUUAUUUGCAACAUGAAAUGUUAUUCACGACAUAGGGACCCUGUGCAAAGGCCUCAGUACAAUGUAAUUAUUGGCUCAGUGUGAAGAUCCCUAUGAACUAGGGCCAAUGUCUCCUUCCCAGGGAGAGUUAAGUUUUCUAAGGAGUGUCUGGCUCUUCCUACUGGUUCCUUUGUUUUGUUCUCCUUCGGAAUGAGUCUGUCAACAGUACCAUGGUUUAUCCUUCAUUGCAGACUCUGGAAGGCCUUGAUCCUUUUCUUGGAAGUGAAUUAAUAAUGUCAGGACACAAGCCGUAUACCCCAACUCUCUACACCCUCCAGAUCUCAAGACAGAGUGUUGGGUUGCUGGAAUACGUUAUCUGAGUUGGCUUUGACUGUUUCCUUCAGUGGUAGAGGCAGACUUGGGCCGGCCCCUUCACUGGCUCUUGCUGGGGACUCUCACCUCAACCUACUGGGAUGGACUUGUGAGAAGGAAGGGAUCACGGGCUGUAGUCACGGGACAAAGGGUGACCAUUCCCAACCUUAGCUUCAUUCAUGCCAACUAAGCCUCUACACCCAGAAACAGAGAACCACCAACUGGAACCCUUGAAGAAUGGACUUCCCACCUUGGCCAACACGGCUUAGUUGGUUGGGCAUCAUCCUGCAAACCACAGGUCACGGGGUCGAUUCUCGGGCAGGGCACAUGCCUGGAUUUUGGGCCUCGUUCUUGGUCAGGGAGUGUUGGCAAGGCAAGUGAUCGAUGUUUCUCUCCCUCUCUUUCUCCCUCCCUUCAUCUCUCUCUAGAAUCAAUAAAAGAAAACAAAAUUUAAAAAAAAUAAUGGAUUUCCUCCCCAAAGUGAGUAUUUCCCCCAUUUCCACUGGUUUUCUGACUGAAACAACAAUGACCCACCCCCCAACUACUGAAAGCCUGCUCCGUUUAGCCACCAUCCCGAACGCUUCACGUAGCGUUAUGGUAUCAGCAUUUUGGCUCCAUACUUACAGGGGUUCUACCAUCACCAGCAUCGGUGGAAAUCAUGGUGGUUUACUGAGAACUAAUUCUUUUUCCAGGGACACAGAGAGCAGGUUAUGCUAUGACACCUUCAGCAGACCUGUAGAUUAAAAAAUAUCCCCAUAUUACAGAUGCAAAAACCGAGGCCCAGAGAAAUAACUGAUGUGCCACGGUCACAAAAUGCAUCUCGUAGGAGGGGAGGAGUUAGACUCGCUGAUCUGCAUGGCUACAGUUUCUGGCACUUUGUGGAGUAAAAGGAAACAAAAAAUCGAUGCCAGAUUUAUACAAGUAUUUCACUAGGAAGAGAAAGGAAAAGUUAGGACGAAGGAGUAAAACUAUAACAUCUUGUGACCGGAAGCUUAACACUUUUAAAUUCUGAGACAGUAAAUAUUCUUCAGAACCACGACACCCUGAAAAGUUACCCCAAAUUAAACACAAAUCUCUUCUAUAUCUACACAGCUGUCUCACUGUUUAAUUUUUUAAAAUAAAUUUGUUGGAGCGACACUGGUUAAUAAAAUUACAGGUUUUAAGUGUAUUGUUAUCUAAUGUUUUGAAUUAAAUUUUGCUUUAAUUUAUAGUCAGAAGUGGUUCGUUUUCCCCUUUGUUUCUUUCUCCCUUUUAAUCAUUCCUCAAGCUUAAAACAACUUCAAUACUUGUGAAAGCACAAUAGAUGUUAGACAAUAAAAGGACUUCAGAUCUGGGGGCGUUAUCAUGGUUUUGUUUUCUUUCUUGAGAAUCUGGCUCAUACCUUGCUUUAUCAUAACACUUAGGAAAUGAGUCACGUGUGUGAAUAGUAACUUGGGAAUGCGAGGAUUAUGAGGGAGAGUGAACUCAGAGGAAACACAAUGACAGGGCUGAGAGUCACCACUUACGUGCAAUGGGGUAAAAAGUGACUUUACCCACCGAGGACAUAGGGCUCUUUCCUACGAGGGACCCGGUGCUCCCAGACGCGGCGGGCCAGUUACCAUCUCCUUGCAUUUAAUCUUAAGUACGUACAGUUCAUCUCACAUACAGAGGAGGUGGAAAUAGGGGGGCUUCCUCUGAGAAAGACAAAGAUGAAUGACAAGAAUGCUUAUUUAACAGAGUGUAAAAGGAACCCUCGGUGUAUAUUACUGGACUUACGCAGACCGACAUGAGCAUCCUAGCAAAGAUGAAGUGCCUUUGGAGGACUUUUGUCUGCGUACUUGAGUACAACCUGGUGAAGGGACAGACAGAUGCAGGACAGACGUGGUUGCCUACGGAGCCCCUCGGAACCAAAGGGCAUCCGCCUGCCUCCGCUGCACAAACCCACAUCAACACCUCCACCUCCAGCAUCUUCAUUUCUGCCCUGUCCCCACACCAGCAUCACAGAAGGGAAGGAAGUUGAUUCCCCAUCAACCAUCCGCUCUUGGGCCACGCUCAGAGCGUGCCAACCAGGUUGCCAACUCUGAUGUAGACACCUGCCCAUUUGGAACAGGAGCGGAGGCAGCCGCGCCGCGUCUAGAAAUCAUCAAACACCCUGUCAGCGAACACCAGCUCUCCGCAAUCUGGGCGAGACGCGGAGGGGUCACGUCGGUAGCCAAUUACUAAUCCGCCGAGACAUUUAGGUCUUUUCAGAUGGACAGAAGUUUCUGACUCCUGUGAUCUCAGGAGGGUUAUCUUUUAAUGAGGAAGAUAAUAAAUUGCUCUAACUAUAAUUUUUGUUAUGCAGGGCUAAUAAGGUCAAUCAUAUUUUUAAGGGGCCUUCCUGACUGACAUCUCCAUUGUGCAAACAACAAUGGAAAUGAUUUUCAACCCCAUUGCUAUCGGAGCCUGAAAAUAUAGCAUAAAUUCAAAUAGAAGCUUGUGUAUUCCCCAGUUUCUGUGUGCGUGCAAGCGUGUGUUAAAGGGGCCUUAACUCUUCACCUUGUUCACGCUGGCCCGGUCUUUCU
Artibeus jamaicensis (Jamaican fruit-eating bat) is the source of this 3748-nucleotide long non-coding RNA. RefSeq lists it as uncharacterized. Lineage: Eukaryota; Metazoa; Chordata; Mammalia; Chiroptera; Phyllostomidae. The record is from RefSeq and is a predicted model, not a curated record. The transcript has 3 exons.